Molecule: ribosomal RNA, 452 nt
Filed under: uncultured bacterium
Lineage: Bacteria
Description: bacterial SSU rRNA
Rfam family: Bacterial small subunit ribosomal RNA
Source: RNAcentral
GCAGUGGGGAAUUUUGGACAAUGGGCAAAGCCUGAUGCAGCCAUGCCGCGUGUAUGAAGAAGGCCUUCGGGUUGUUAAAGUACUUUCAGCAGUGAGGAAGGUGGGUAUGUUAAUAGCAUACUCAUUUGACGUUAGCUGCAGAAGAAGCACCGGCUAACUCCGUGCCAGCAGCCGCGGUAAUACGGAGGGUGCGAGCGUUAAUCGGAAUUACUGGGCGUAAAGCGCAUGCAGGUGGUUUGUUAAGUCAGAUGUGAAAGCCCGGGGCUCAACCUCGGAAUUGCAUUUGAAACUGGCAAACUAGAGUACUGUAGAGGGGGUAGGAAUUUCAGGUGUAGCGGUGAAAUGCGUAGAGAUCUGAAGGAAUACCGGUGGCGAAGGCGGCCCCCCUGGACAGAUACUGACACUCAGAUGCGAAAGCGUGGGGAGCAAACAGGAUUAGAUACCCCUGGUAG